Anthonomus grandis grandis is the source of this 833-nucleotide long non-coding RNA. RefSeq lists it as uncharacterized. The transcript is spliced from 3 exons. The record is from RefSeq and is a predicted model, not a curated record. NCBI's taxonomy places the organism in Eukaryota, Metazoa, Arthropoda, Insecta, Coleoptera, Curculionidae.
ACAAGUAAAUUUUUGGCGUCGGUACUAAGUCAAUUGUUACAAUUGUUCAAACAAUUUAAUUAAUUUUCAGUUUAAAACUAUUGUGUGAUGGUGGUGAGCCUGGACUGCAACUAAGGGGAUCCUCGUUAAGAAGACCACAUCUGUCUUAUUCGGGUCCACUUUAAUACAUGCAUUCAUUUAUUAUGACUGCUGGCGGAGCCCUACUGGAGGUUUCACAUAGCACCGCGCAAGAAAAAAUGCUAGCUUGGAUGGAAAAACCACUACAUGAAAGAGACCCGACGGUACGAAGUGUUAGAUAUAUGUAAGGAUGUGAGACGACGGAGUCCAUUCAGCAUGUUACCGGUGGAUAUCCAACGUUUGCAACGACGGAAUAUAAAGAACCGCAUAAUCUAGUUGCAAAGAUACUGCAUCAACAGCUCGCGAAAAAACUAAACCUCUUAUCAGCAUCCAAGGUACUAUAUUAUAAGUAUAAGCCGAAACCAGUUCUUCAAAAUGAGCAACACAGAUUGUAUUGGAAUCGCACUGUACUUACAGACCAACGAGUAAGUAACAAUAAGCCUAAUCUAAUACUAAUCCAUAUAAUUUUUAGGAAGACAAGCCUUAUUGAUGUAGGGCCCUAUUCCUAAUAAUAACAACCUAAGAGCGAAACAUAAUAAAAAUAAUGAAAGUACAUGGAUCUAGCACACCAGAUACAAAGACAAUGGGAAAUGAAAGAAGUGUGGACCAUUCCCAUAAUUGUGUAAACAACAGGAGUAUUACCAAAAAGUCUGAUCGAAAACAUAAAACUGCUUAACCUUAAGAAAAGCAUCUAUAAGCUAAUGCAGAAGUCGACC